Molecule: ribosomal RNA, 497 nt
Filed under: uncultured bacterium
Lineage: Bacteria
Description: partial 16S ribosomal RNA
Rfam family: Bacterial small subunit ribosomal RNA
Source: RNAcentral
GAUGAACGCUGGCGGCGUGCCUAAUACAUGCCAGUCGAGCGAACAGACGAGGAGCUUGCUCCUCUGACGUUAGCGGCGGACGGGUGAGUAACACGUGGAUAACCUACCUAUAAGACUGGGAUAACUUCGGGAAACCGGAGCUAAUACCGGAUAAUAUAUUGAACCGCAUGGUUCAAUAGUGAAAGGCGGUUUUGCUGUCACUUAUAGAUGGAUCCGCGCCGCAUUAGCUAGUUGGUAAGGUAACGGCUUACCAAGGCAACGAUGCGUAGCCGACCUGAGAGGGUGCUCGGCCACACUGGAACUGAGACACGGUCCAGACUCCUACGGGAGGCAGCAGUAGGGAAUCUUCCGCAAUGGGCGAAAGCCUGACGGAGCAACGCCGCGUGAGUGAUGAAGGUCUUCGGAUCGUAAAACUCUGUUAUUAGGGAAGAACAAAUGUGUAAGUAACUAUGCACGUCUUGACGGUACCUAAUCAGAAAGCCACGGCUAACUACGUG